GGUUGGUGCUGCCGAGGCGAUCAGCUGACUCUGGAUCAGCCAAAUCGAAGGUUCGAAUCCUUCCUCCCCAGCCG
Molecule: transfer RNA, 74 nt
Filed under: Chloroflexota bacterium
Lineage: Bacteria; Bacillati; Chloroflexota
Description: tRNA-Ser
Source: RNAcentral